GAUGAACGCUGGCGGCGUGCCUAAUACAUGCAAGUCGAGCGAACAGAUGAGGAGCUUGCUCCUCUGACGUUAGCGGCGGACGGGUGAGUAACACGUGGUUAACCUACCUAUAAGACUGGGAUAACUUCGGGAAACAGGAGCUAAUACCGGAUAAUAUAUUGAACCGCAUGGUUCAAUAGUGAAAGACGGUAUUGCUGUCACUUAUAGAUGGAUCCGCGCCGCAUUAGCUAGUUGGUAAGGUAAAGGCUUACCAAGGCAACGAUGCGUAGCCGACCUGAGAGGGUGAUCGGCCACACUGGAACUGAGACACGGUCCAGACUCCUACGGGAGGCAGCAGUAGGGAAUCUUCCGCAAUGGGCGAAAGCCUGACGGAGCAACGCCGCGUGAGUGAUGAAGGUCUUCGGAUCGUAAAACUCUGUUAUUAGGGAAGAACAAAUGUGUAAGUAACUAUGCACGUCUUGACGGUACCUAAUCAGAAAGCCACGGCUAACUACGUG
This 497-nucleotide ribosomal RNA is filed under the name uncultured bacterium. Its description in RNAcentral is "partial 16S ribosomal RNA". It matches the Rfam family "Bacterial small subunit ribosomal RNA", at positions 28 to 507 of the family's 1533-position model. The record is from RNAcentral.